This 443-nucleotide ribosomal RNA is filed under the name uncultured crenarchaeote. RNAcentral's name for it is "bacterial SSU rRNA". It matches the Rfam family "Archaeal small subunit ribosomal RNA", at positions 327 to 776 of the family's 1478-position model. The record is from RNAcentral. Lineage: Archaea; Thermoproteati; Thermoproteota.
GGGGUGCAGCAGGCGCGAAAACUCUGCAAUAAGCGAAAGCUUGACAGGGUUACUCUGAGUGAUGCCCGCUAAGGGUAUCUUUUGGCACCUCUAAAAAUGGUGCAGAAUAAGGGGUGGGCAAGUCUGGUGUCAGCCGCCGCGGUAAUACCAGCACCCCGAGUUGUCGGGACGAUUAUUGGGCCUAAAGCAUCCGUAGCCUGUUCUACAAGUCCUCCGUUAAAUCCACCUGCUCAACAGAUGGGCUGCGGGGGAUACUACAGAGCUAGGAGGCGGGAGAGGCAAACGGUACUCAGUGGGUAGGGGUAAAAUCCAUUGAUCUACUGAAGACCACCAGUGGCGAAAGCGGUUUGCCAGAAUCUCUCGACGGUGAGGGAUGAAAACCGGGGGAGCCACCGGAUUACUAACGGGUAGUCCCAGCUGUAAACUAUGCAGAAUCGGUGAUG